GACAGAGGGUGCAAACGUUGUUCGGAAUUACUGGGCGUAAAGCGCGUGUAGGCGGCCCUGUAAGUCGGGUGUGAAAUCCCACGGCUCAACCGUGGAAGUGCACUCGAAACUACAGGGCUAGAGUCCUGGAGAGGAAGGUGGAAUGCUUGGUGUAGAGGUGAAAUUCGUAGAUAUCAAGCGGAACACCGGUGGCGAAGGCGGCCUUCUGGACAGUGACUGACGCUGAGACGCGAAAGCGUGGGGAGCA
RNAcentral lists this ribosomal RNA (247 nucleotides) under uncultured bacterium. RNAcentral's name for it is "partial 16S ribosomal RNA". It matches the Rfam family "Bacterial small subunit ribosomal RNA", at positions 524 to 770 of the family's 1533-position model. The record is from RNAcentral.